AGGUUCAGGGUCCAGAAGACUCAGCUCUUUGGAGAUUCAUCUUUCUGUCCCUGCUGUGGCUACUGGGAUCUCUCUUCUGCUUAACAGAGAGGUCAGAAGGUUCCUAAACAAACCAGAUUUAUCAAUUAUUUAGGGCUGAUUUCUUCUGAAGUGGUAUUUCUGAUAUAUUAUUUGUUCCUGAAACAUUGUUCUUCAAAACUGCAGAGACACCUUUCAAGUAAAAAACAUUUUGUUCGACCACAUUAUUGUCCUGCGUGUUAAAAUAAAAUGAGAUUGUUAAGAUUUUGAU
Long non-coding RNA from Mastomys coucha (southern multimammate mouse), 289 nucleotides. RefSeq lists it as uncharacterized. The transcript has 3 exons. The record is from RefSeq and is a predicted model, not a curated record. NCBI's taxonomy places the organism in Eukaryota, Metazoa, Chordata, Mammalia, Rodentia, Muridae.